AGCAGCCGCGGUAAUUCCAGCUCCAAUAGCGUAUAUUAAAGUUGUUGCAGUUAAAAAGCUCGUAGUUGAAUUUCGGGGUCAGUAGGUUGGUCAUGCCACUGGUAUGUACUGGUCUCACUGAUUCCUCCUUCCUGAUGAACUGUAAUGCCAUUAAUUUGGUGUUGCAGGGAAUCUGGACUGUUACUUUGAAAAAAUUAGAGUGUUUAAAGCAAGCUAACGCUUGAAUACAUUAGCAUGGAAUAAUGAAAUAGGACGUUCGAUCCUAUUUUGUUGGUUUCUAGGAUUGACGUAAUGAUUAAUAGGGAUAGUUGGGGGCAUUAGUAUUCAAUUGUCAGAGGUGAAAUUCUUGGAUUUAUUGAAGACUAACUACUGCGAAAGCAUUUGCCAAGGAUGUUUUCAUUAAUCAAGAACGAAAGUUAGGGGAUCGAAGACGAUCAGAUACCGUCGUAG
This 450-nucleotide ribosomal RNA is filed under the name uncultured Glomeromycotina. RNAcentral's name for it is "SSU rRNA". It matches the Rfam family "Eukaryotic small subunit ribosomal RNA", at positions 569 to 1023 of the family's 1831-position model. The record is from RNAcentral. Lineage: Eukaryota; Fungi; Glomeromycota.